GCCAGGAGAGGUGGUGCACACCUGCAAUCCCAGUUACUGGGGAGGCUGAGGCAGGAGGAUCGAAGGUUCUAGGCCAGCCUCAGAAACUUACAUCCUGUCUCAA
RNAcentral lists this small RNA (103 nucleotides) under Marmota monax (woodchuck). The record is from RNAcentral. Lineage: Eukaryota; Metazoa; Chordata; Mammalia; Rodentia; Sciuridae.